UAAAAGGUCAUGAAAGAGCCGACUGAAUCAGAUGGCACGUUAAAAGACUCAUCAACGGUGGCAGGUUUAUAGAACAUGACAGAGGAAGCUGUGCUUAGCUGAGAAGAGGAAGCAGAGAAGGAAGCAGAGAAAAACAAAGUCUGUGAUAAAAACUGGAAAGGAGCCACAAAAGGCCACAAAAAACAAGGAAGUCCAUUUUGGAACCGGAUCCUGGAGUGACUGAAAAGGCAGAGUGUCAUUUGAGGAUGCGAGUAGUAUAAUCAUACUUUUUUGCAUGGAAGAAAGCAAGUGUCUUGAGGCAUCCAUCAUCCUGGAAGAAGACUAUGAUUUAUAACAGAAGGAAUGCAAAAAGAAAGAACAAGUUAAUAUUUCUCUUUUGGCAUGUCAAAUAGAAUUAUUCAGCAAGACAAUAACCUUGCAAGCCAGGCGUUGUCUUGAAAAACCAUUUCCAAAUUUCUUUAAUCCUUCCCUUUGGCUUUUCAACAAUGCAGCCUGAUUGAACCAGUUUAUGGAGUUCUCCCUAAGUGCAGAGAAAAUACCCAUAUCCUUUAUUAGGGUAUCUCUAAGAAACUGAAGUAUGGAGGGCAUGAUGCAGGGGAAAUCUGUCAUUUUGGGGCCCUUUGUGAUAGAGAGAAAGAGAGAGAAAGAGGAAGAAGAAGAUGAGAGAAUCAGUUUUGAUCAUGUAUUCUCCCAGCUUUGGCCCAGAAAAUAGGGAGGCCUAUUGGAUGAGUGGGGAUAUCACCAAGGGCAGAGGAAGCUUUUGUCCUUCUUCCUGCUUGAGACUCUGCAGAAUAGACUGUCAUCCUGGGGUGUGACCACAUCCACAUGGCAGUGUGGUAUGACCUGGCAGAGGGAGUCCUUGACACUUAGUUUUCCUGAGCCAUUCUUAUUUCCAGUGAGGCACAGAUGGACCCAGAAAAUGGUGGGAGUUUGGCUGGGGAGUAUUACCAAUGGGAGUCACCAUGGCUGGGCAAGGUCAAGGUACUCCGUAGCAAGGGCUGCCCAGUGGACCACCUGGGCCAGGCCAAUUGGAGUCACAGCAAAUGGGAAGGAGUCUAGACCCAAUAGAUGAGUCCAAAAAGCUGCAGAGAGCGAGAGCUAGCAAGGCAGUCCCCUGGGCUCUGAUCUGCUGAGGAAAACCUAGGCUGUAAGUUACUCUUGUACAGACACAGACUUCAGCUGUGAAUCCCAGUAGGGUAAGAUGCACGCAGGUGGAUCAGGGACUUCCACCUAACCCUGCCUAGAAGAGUAAGAGGAAUCUGACCUUUUGCCUGCCGCGAAGGUGUUCAAGCUCCACCUGUCCCUCUUCAUAUGCAGAUGUCAUCUUGGAGGGGAGCUAGAAGACUGAUGUGUUUGAGAAACUAAGCCUUUAUUUCCCCUCAGAGGGGACCAUUCUUUGAAGGGACCAUUUAAAUUAUCGUGUAAUACGAAGGUUCAAACUUUAUUAGAUAUUAAAACAAUCAGUUUGUCCUUUUGAAUGGCUUUUGGCUAUUUCCAAAAUUCAAAUCCGUUAGAAGACAAAGAUUAGACAUACUGAAAUGCUUCUAAAAAUAUUCUAACUGGUGAAUAUAUGAGAAAAGAAUUAACCUCAUUAAUUAUCCACUCGAAUGUAAACUAAAACACUAUUCUAUACUUCCUUCUUUGAAAUUCAUAAACGUUGGAAAAAAAUACAGAAAAUCUACUAGUUAGUAGGAAAAAAGUUGUAGACAGAACAAAGGGGCCACAUGCUCUUGGUCAAUCUGAGUUUUGAUGGAAGUUAAAUGUUGCUGCCCUGGCAUAACACUAACAUUUAUUAAGCACUUUGUCUGUGCCUGGUGCUGUUUUAAGAAAUUUAGGUGCAUUAUUUCACUAAACCUUGUCAAUAGCCUUAUGAAAUAUAUGCUAUCAUGGCCUCUUUUUAUCAAUGGGGAAACUGAGCCACAGAAAAAAUAAAUACCUUGUACAAUUAGAAAAUGGCAAUUUGCUGGGUGCGAGGGCUCACGCCUGUAAUCCUAGCACUUUG
Long non-coding RNA from Homo sapiens (human), 2002 nucleotides. Ensembl annotates it as MIR4422 host gene. The record is from Ensembl. NCBI's taxonomy places the organism in Eukaryota, Metazoa, Chordata, Mammalia, Primates, Hominidae.